GUGCUGCUUUGGAAGCACAUAUACAAAAACUGGAACAAUACAGAGAUUAAUAUGGUCCCUAUACAAGAAUGACCGCAAAUUCAUGAAACAUUCCAUAUUUAA
This 102-nucleotide small nuclear RNA is filed under the name Castor canadensis (American beaver). The record is from RNAcentral. Lineage: Eukaryota; Metazoa; Chordata; Mammalia; Rodentia; Castoridae.